RNAcentral lists this transfer RNA (82 nucleotides) under Felis catus (domestic cat). It matches the Rfam family "tRNA". Rfam says of the family: Transfer RNA (tRNA) molecules are approximately 80 nucleotides in length. Their secondary structure includes four short double-helical elements and three loops (D, anti-codon, and T loops). Lineage: Eukaryota; Metazoa; Chordata; Mammalia; Carnivora; Felidae. The record is from Rfam by way of RNAcentral. RNAcentral also lists the same sequence under 2 other names.
GCCUGGGUGGCUCAGUUGGUUAAGCGUCUGACUUCGGCUCAGGUCAUGAUCUUCCUAGUAGGUUGGAGCCCUGCCUUGGGUU